AUAACGUAGCGAAAGUUACGCUAAUACCGCAUACGAUCUAAGGAUGAAAGCGGGGGACGUCGCAAGAGCCUCGCGCGAUUGGGAGCGGCCGAUANCAGAUUAGGUAGUUGGUGGGGUAAAGGCUCACCAAGCCAACGAUCUGUAGCUGGUCUGAGAGGACGACCAGCCACACUGGAACUGAGACACGGUCCAGACUCCUACGGGAGGCAGCAGUGGGGAAUUUUGGACAAUGGACGCAAGUCUGAUCCAGCCAUUCCGCGUGCAGGAUGAAGGCCCUCGGGUUGUAAACUGCUUUUGUACGGAACGAAAAGGUUUCUAUUAAUACUAGGAGCUCAUGACGGUACCGUAAGAAUAAGCACCGGCUAACUACGUG
This 373-nucleotide ribosomal RNA is filed under the name uncultured bacterium. Its description in RNAcentral is "bacterial SSU rRNA". It matches the Rfam family "Bacterial small subunit ribosomal RNA", at positions 143 to 507 of the family's 1533-position model. The record is from RNAcentral.